UUUUUUUUUUUUUUUUUAGGGAGAGGGCUACAACUCCUUAGGAUCUCCGUAAUGGUGCAAAUGCGGGAGUGAUUCACUCCCGCAACAUUUGCGCUCAUUCUAAACAUUUCCUGACUUUCUUUACGUAAAUAAAAUGAUAUUCUAUGUUUCUUAGUCAAUAUAUAAAUUUACAACCUACAACUUUAGAUUUGUGAGGCUCUAUUCUACCGUUUUCAACAAUUUCGAUAAAUCCCAGUUUCUCGAUUCAUAUUUGUGCGCCAUGUUUGAUGUACUGAAGUUUCAACUUCCGGUUGUCAAGUCAUUUGCAUAUGCCAUAUAAGGUGGUAUUUACAUCAAUGGACAAGUAUGGAGGCGAAAGCUAUUUCGUCGGUAUUGAGAAGGUUUGAAUUUAAUAUCAAGUUAAAAACCGAACAGCAGAGUGUAAAUUCUUUCUGCAACAAUAUGAUUUUCCUUCCUUUGUCGAAGUGGCUCGAAUAACUACAUUUUCGCGCUGAUUGUCAAUGUUUAGGCUUUUCAUUAGAUCCACCUACGAGAUCUCGCGAUAACAAGCAUGGCGGAGCAGACGAGAGUUUUGCAUGCUGUACAUUAUAUUUAAUGAAAAACACCUUUAUUAGACAUGCCCGAGCACAAAGUUGGUACUCCUUUUGGUGUAAACAACAUUUGGGACUAAUACACAGAGUUUAUUAUCGGUUAUUCAUAAAAUUAUUUUGCACCAUUACGGAGAUCCUAUGGAAUUGUAGCCCUAUCCCGAAAACGUCAGAAUAAAAAAAAAUUGGAUUGGGCUACAUUAUUGCAGCUAAUGGACUACCCAUGGAAUGAAGAUGUUCCCUAUCGAUUUUGGGGUCAAAGGUCAAGCGCACUGGACAUCUCGAAGUAGCAAUAUGGUUUCCGGGCUCUAAAGCGUUAUCCUUUCCACCUACAGUCACCAUAUCAUACAUAUGGACUACCCAUGGGAUGAAGAUAUUCCCUGUUGAUUUUGGGGUCAAAAGGUCAAAGGUCACGCGCACUGGACAUCGAAGUAGCAAUAUGGUUCGGUUUGUCAUGCCAUUUGUUUUUUACACUCAGAAAAGAGGUAGUUUAUACCUAUUACCAACACCCUUUGGGAGAUUGGGGUAAGCGGGGGGUAUUCUUAGUGAGCAUUGCUCACAGUACCUCUUGUUUUUUUCUUCCUUGAAUGAAAGGUGAAGAUCAAUCUCAUAACUCCUAUAAGCAACACAAAAUAGAUAGUUGGGCAAACAUGGACCCCUGGACACACCAGAGGUGGGAUCAGGUGCCUAGGAGGAGUAAGCAUCCCCUGUCGACCGGUCACACCCGCCGUGAGCCCUAUAUCCUGAUCAGGUGUAAAGUUCUUCAUAUUUAGCCUACGUUCUGGCAUAACCGUCUACAGAAUGGAUAAUAACCGUCUACAGAAUGGAUAAUAACCGUCUACAGAAUUAAUAAUAACCGUCUACAGAAUGGAUAAUGGAGACAAAGUACAUAACCGUCUACAGAAUGGAUAAUGGAGACAAAGUUAUGUCCCUAAUGGAAAGACCGAGGUUCUUUGAAUUUAGGAACUUUUUUAAAAAGUUAUUUAAGGUCCUCAUUUUCACCUAUAUCAACAUCACUAAUAAAGGCAUGUCCAUGUGGAAUAUAGUUGAAAGAAGAACAAGAACAUGUAUGGGGACUAUGUUUAAGAUGACCUAUAUAUAGGCAUUGUAGAGGUUGUAAUUCAAAGGUUUGGAUGCAAUAGUAAAAGUGCAUUUGCAGGAUAUACAGGGUGUAGACUUGAACUUGAAAUUUGCUGAAAUACAAUACUGAACUUUGAGCUUAUGUUGACAGGAUUUUUUCCCUUGUUAGUAAAAAUAAGUUUAGUAACUGGCGGCAUGAUUCGGAAGGAUUAUUAUCCAUAACCCACGGUAGUUUAAAGAGUAUGUGAAGGGCAACAUCCAUAAUUAUAAAACUCAGUCUGUAUUCUAAUGUUGAAAAAUCCAAGUAUGGACUAGCUUUGGCUUCUUCAAAUAGCGUAUUCAAAAUUUUCACUGGAACAGCUGUGUACCUAUAUGACGUAGCUGUGUACCUAUAUGAUGUGGACAUAACUGUCUGUUGACGUAAGUGUACUAGUAUCAAGAGUGGCGCCUUGUAUAUUGAGUCUUUUACAUAAACGAUGUCUA
Long non-coding RNA from Ostrea edulis (European flat oyster), 2150 nucleotides. RefSeq lists it as uncharacterized. The transcript is spliced from 2 exons. Lineage: Eukaryota; Metazoa; Mollusca; Bivalvia; Ostreida; Ostreidae. The record is from RefSeq and is a predicted model, not a curated record.